This is a ribosomal RNA of Danio rerio (zebrafish), 117 nucleotides long. The record is from Ensembl. Lineage: Eukaryota; Metazoa; Chordata; Actinopteri; Cypriniformes; Danionidae.
UUACACAUCCAUAUCACCCUGCAGCCUAAGACUGGUUACUCACUGAAGCUAAGCAGGGCUGAGCCUGGUCAGUACCUGGAUGGGAGACCACUUGGGUCUCUGUUGUUGCUGUUGGAA